GGAGAUGUGGCUCAGUGGUAGAGUUCUUGCCUUGCAUGCAUGAGACCCUGGAUUGGAUCUCCAGCACUCCA
Molecule: transfer RNA, 71 nt
Filed under: Cavia porcellus (domestic guinea pig)
Lineage: Eukaryota; Metazoa; Chordata; Mammalia; Rodentia; Caviidae
Rfam family: tRNA
About the family: Transfer RNA (tRNA) molecules are approximately 80 nucleotides in length. Their secondary structure includes four short double-helical elements and three loops (D, anti-codon, and T loops).
Source: Rfam by way of RNAcentral